This 540-nucleotide ribosomal RNA is filed under the name uncultured Pseudonocardiaceae bacterium. Its description in RNAcentral is "bacterial SSU rRNA". It matches the Rfam family "Bacterial small subunit ribosomal RNA", at positions 356 to 897 of the family's 1533-position model. Lineage: Bacteria; Bacillati; Actinomycetota; Actinomycetes; Pseudonocardiales; Pseudonocardiaceae. The record is from RNAcentral.
AAGGAAUAUUGCGCAAUGGGCGAAAGCCUGACGCAGCGACGCCGCGUGGGGGAUGAAGGUCUUCGGAUUGUAAACCCCUUUCGGGAGGGAAGAUGGGACGAGCAAUCGUCCGGACGGUACCUCCAGAAGCAGCCACGGCUAACUCCGUGCCAGCAGCCGCGGUAAUACGUAGGGUGCGAGCGUUGUCCGGAAUUAUUGGGCGUAAAGAGCUCGUAGGCGGUUUGUCGCGUCGGCCGUGAAAUCUCCACGCUUAACGUGGAGCGUGCGGUCGAUACGGGCAGACUUGAGUUCGGUAGGGGAGACUGGAAUUCCUGGUGUAGCGGUGAAAUGCGCAGAUAUCAGGAGGAACACCGGUGGCGAAGGCGGGUCUCUGGGCCGAUACUGACGCUGAGGAGCGAAAGCGUGGGGAGCGAACAGGAUUAGAUACCCUGGUAGUCCACGCUGUAAACGUUGGGCGCUAGGUGUGGGCGACAUCCACGUUGUCCGUGCCGUAGCUAACGCAUUAAGCGCCCCGCCUGGGGAGUACGGCCGCAAGGCUAA